UAGGGAAUCUUCCACAAUGGACGCAAGUCUGAUGGAGCAACGCCGCGUGAGUGAAGAAGGUUUUCGGAUCGUAAAGCUCUGUUGUUGGUGAAGAAGGAUAGAGGCAGUAACUGGUCUUUAUUUGACGGUAAUAAACCAGAAAGUCACGGCUAACUACGUGCCAGCAGCCGCGGUAAUACGUAGGUGGCAAGCGUUGUCCGGAUUUAUUGGGCGUAAAGCGAGCGCAGGCGGAAUGAUAAGUCUGAUGUGAAAGCCCACGGCUCAACCGUGGAACUGCAUCGGAAACUGUCAUUCUUGAGUGCAGAAGAGGAGAGUGGAAUUCCAUGUGUAGCGGUGGAAUGCGUAGAUAUAUGGAAGAACGCCAGUGGCGAAGGCGGCUCUCUGGUCUGCAACUGACGCUGAGGCUCGAAAGCAUGGGUAGCGAACAGG
Molecule: ribosomal RNA, 429 nt
Filed under: bacterium
Lineage: Bacteria
Description: partial 16S ribosomal RNA
Rfam family: Bacterial small subunit ribosomal RNA
Source: RNAcentral